GUCGAAGGGAGAAAUUCAUUCGUAUGACACGUUCGGCGAACUAUAGAAGUUUUGGACGUUAAAACAAGUUUUCUUGUUAUUCGCCAUCUUUUUUAUUCGAUCUGAACGUGAACGCGUGCACUUUUCUUCUGGUAGGACGUCGCGAUCCGUUGGGCGUACGGUCUAUGGGUAACGAUGUUGACCGAAAAUACGUACGAUUUUCGAAUCGGACGAUUUGAUUUUCGGACUCGUAACUUCUGACCGACACACCCGACGGUACAAUAAGAAAUGGUAUAAAGCCGCCUAUAUAAAGGCGUUAGAGUCUUAACAAAUAUUUCACUAGUGAAACGUUGAUUGAAAAUUUUUCGAUUACGUUCCUUUGAAAUAUUGUUAGUUGGGAAUAAUCUCUGACAGACUUUUACCGAUCGGCGACGCUAUAGCUUUGGGUACUUUCAGGACCCGUCUUGAAACACGGACCAAGGAGUCUAGCAUGUGCGCAAGUCAUUGGGAUUUAAUACGAAACCUAAAGGCGUAAUGAAAGUAAAUACAUUUCUCUAUAUUUAUUAUAGAACGAAAUCGUUUUAGGGAAGAUGAAUUUGUAUAUUCUUGGACGUUAUUAUUAACACGUUUAAUUUGCGUCUAUUUAUAAAAGAAUAUCGUUCCGCAUUCCCGGGGCGUUUAGUUCUCGUAUAAUAUUCUUAUUAUGCGAGUUUAGGCGCACCAAAAGCGUACACGCUGGGACCCGAAAGAUGGUGAACUAUGCCUGGUCAGGACGAAGUCAGGGGAAACCCUGAUGGAGGUCCGCAGCGAUUCUGACGUGCAAAUCGAUCGUCGGAAC
This 817-nucleotide ribosomal RNA is filed under the name Periommatus bispinus. Its description in RNAcentral is "eukaryotic LSU rRNA". It matches the Rfam family "Eukaryotic large subunit ribosomal RNA", at positions 457 to 911 of the family's 3401-position model. Lineage: Eukaryota; Metazoa; Arthropoda; Insecta; Coleoptera; Curculionidae. The record is from RNAcentral.